RNAcentral lists this long non-coding RNA (4974 nucleotides) under Mytilus galloprovincialis (Mediterranean mussel). The record is from RNAcentral. Lineage: Eukaryota; Metazoa; Mollusca; Bivalvia; Mytilida; Mytilidae.
ACACACAUGGUUACUUAUAAACAAACUAGAUAUUAACCUCAUGGAUUUGACACGGAUUUAAAUCAUAAAACCAAAAAGGUAAAUAAAAAUUAAUUUAUUGUGUGUCCAUACAAUAAUAUUAUUGCAAAGAAAUUUUGACCAUAUCUGUUUAUACAUUUUAAAGAUAUCGACAGUCAUUUGUAUUUUAAAUCAUAAUAAUUUAUACCAUGUGUUAUGGUUGGAUUUUACUUGUUUAUUUUAAGCUUGUUAUAAUUCAGGCUAUUGGGUUUCCCUUUGAAUUGUUUCAUAUUUUGUUAUAUGUGGUUGUCUUUGGUACACGUGGCUGACUAUACUGGUUUUCUAAUUUUUGAAGGCUGUAUUACGGUAACAUGACCUAUAAUGUCCAUUGCUUAAAUUAUUUAUUUUGGACACUGUUAUUGAUCUCAUUGGCAAUCAUGCACAUUCUCCUCAUCUGAUAUCUAGUAUGGACACUUGAUCUUAGAUUGGAAUGCAUGCAACAAUUGUAGAUUGUUUUUACACGUAUAUUUUCAAAUAUUUCUAUCAAAAGAUUUCCUAAUAUCCUAAUUUCCCCAUACUUUUAAUUUAUUGGAACUCAUCACAGUGUAAAUAUUUAAAAAUGUUAUAGCUAGCCUUUAUAGAUUUGUCAUUAUUGAAAGUUGUAUAAAUGUAGUUAUUUAUUUAAAGCCUCAAUAAUAAAAAAAUAAAAAAUAGAAAAAACAAAAAAAAACUCAUAACGGAGUUUAUCUGUUACAUAUUUGUAUCUCGUUCAUUUUUUUUUAUAACAAUAAGGCUGUUAGUUUUCUCGUUUGAAUUGUUUUCCAUUGUAAAUUCGGGGCCUUUUAUAGCUGACUGUGCGGUAUGGGGUUUGCUCAUUGUUGCAGACCUUACAGUGACCUAUAGUUGUAAAUUUAUGUGUCAUUUUGGUCUCUUGUGGAGAGUUGUUUCAUUGGCAAUCAUAUUUUCUUUUUUAUAUUGAUUAAAUCAUGCUUGAAAGGUAGAAAAAACAAAUAUAUCAAAAUAUUCCAAUAAGCACCUUCAAUGAUACGGAGGGCUUAUUUUGAGAUUUGAGUUAAUCACGGAAGAUUUUAAAAAAUCAAUUUAUAUGGUUUCAGCAAUUACAUGUAUUCAAUACUAGUGGCAGGAUCGUCAGGAUGCGGAAAAACAAGCUUGGUCAAUCGUUUUGUUGUGAGUACAAUUACAGUAAUUUGAAUCUAUACUUCAAACAAAUGUGAUAAAUGAAACUACAUGUCCUUGAAUGAAUUGACCAUUAUGAUGACCUAACACAUACAAAUAGUACCAAGUUUCAUAACAGUGAAGACACUGAAUGUCUGUGUUUUUAAUUGUUAGAAAAAACGCUUCAUAAGACUUAAAAGAUUUUUAUAUGAAUCCAAAAGCUGUAAAUGCACGCAAAUAUGUCGAGAUAUAACCUCAUUUACCAGAAAUUUUAAAAGUUUUUACGGGAGACAUUUAAAUAACAUUAGAUUUCACUGUUUUACUAUUUCGUAUUUGAGAUGUCUCAUGCCAGUUUUGUUUCAACUCUUAAUUUUUCAAACAUGUUAGAGGUUACUUGCAUAUAGCCCAGUGCUUUGAUUUUGACUGUUUUUGGGGUCUUACUAAUACAUGUAGGAUAAUGGUUGUAAUUUUUCAGUAACAGUAAAAUUAGCUUAACCGUGCAAUAUUAUACAUGUAUGUAUGUAUACAGUCGAGCUGUAUUGCAUAUAUCUUGUUAUUUAUGUCAUUGGGUAAUUGUCUUAAAAACAGGCAUUUUCUUUUCAUGCUUUACCAGUAUUUAUUCAAUUUGAUGAAAUUAUUCGAGCCUCAAUGUGUACUUAAAAAAAAAUGUACAUGUAUGCAAACUUUUCUGUUUUGACAAUGACCCACGAAUAAACGAAUUAAACAUAGUGUAGCCAGUUAUAGGACUGCAAUAAGAAUCGUUGAGGUUCGUGUUGAUCAGUCUUUAGUUUUCUAUGUUAUGUCUUUUGUACUAUUAUUUGUUUGUUUGUCUUUUCUUUUGAGCCAUUGCGUUGUUAGAUUUUUUUCUAUUUAUGAGUUUGAAUGCCCCUCUCGUAUCUUUUGCCCCUCUUUUGAAAUGAUUUGUUUAUUCGAAUUUUUUUCAGGGAGAAAAAUUCCAGAAAGAACAUGAACCUACACAACAUAUGAAUAGUGUAAGUAUAAAAUGUUAAUGCAUUCUCUUUUCGUCCUUGUUUUAUAAAAAAGGAGAAGAUGUGGUACUAUGAUUGCUAAUGCGACAACUCUCCACAAGAGACCAACAUGACACAGAAAUAAAUGCUCGUUCGACAAAAUUUGAAUCCUAUAUGAAUAUGAAUACUUUAUUCUCUUAAAACAAUUGUUACAGAGAACAUAUCCAUAUUACCAAUAUACAAACUUAUAUAUAGCAUGUGUGAAUUGCAUAUACAUGUAUAAAGUAAUAGUACUAAGAAGUUCUAACCUGGAGGAACGAGCUUCUCUUAGACGUUCUUAAUAAAUUUACAUAGUUUUUCUAAUAUAAUUACAUUGUUGGAGGCAAAAAGCUGUUCAAACUUAUAAAUGUUACAUUUUCAUGACAAAACGGGGGAAUCAGAUUUAUUCUAUCAUUGACAAAGUACAUGUAGCUACAUGACAUAAUAUAUGUAAACACAUUCUGAUUACGUAAAAGGAAAGUGAUACAGCAUAUUACUUUGUGAAAUACUAAAAUGACACCCAAAAUAAAUAAUUUGAUUUCGGAUGUAAUACGUCUUCUAUUUGAAGGAAAGUUUUUUUUUGUCUAUCUGAGCAUAGACAUAAUUUUGUCAUGUGACUGUGACGCCAUCAACGUUUUUCUUUCAGAGAACAGAGAAACAUACAAUAUAAAUACAAAUACAAUAAUAGUUUAAGUAAACAAAUACAGAACAGUAUUCUAAAAUGAAGUACAAAAUUAUGACGGCAUAUAUUUCACUAGAUUUUUAACUCAAUAGAAGGAAACCAGGACGAUGAUUAUAAUAGUUUACAUUUACAUAGAGGGACUAACUUUUUUUAUUAUUAAUACACUUAAUUAAUAAACACAGUUUUCUCACUGGUGGUUCUUUUGUAGACGAAACGCGCGUCUGGCGAACAUAUAAAAUUGAUCAUGGUAUCUAUGAUGAGUUUAUUUAUAAGUAAACGUACGAAAGUGUUUGCUUGUUAUAAAAUACACUAAUAAAACACGAUUCUAAAAUAUAUUGCCAAUUUUCAAAAAAGAAAAGGUAAAAUAUUAAAUACAUGAAAAGGAGAGUACUAUAUGAAAAGAGUUUUAAUGAAAAAAAAAAGGUUUCAUAAUAUAAGUUGUAUGUAUUUUUUAUUCCAAUAGACGUCGCAUACAGUAGAAGUAAAUGGAAAAACAGUUCGUAUGAUGCUUGUAAGUAUACUUUGUCAGUAUUCAAAAUAAGUUGACUAGGUUUGUUAGUAUUUCUACCGAAGAUCUCUCCGGCAGUCAACCGACUUCCUCAACGAAAAAUAACUGACCACUACGGAAAAGAAACAAUAGUGCUGAAAGUAGCGAUAAAUUAAAAUUAAUCAAUUAAUCAAUACACAAAAUUAAUUCUUACAUGUGUUGUCGCUUAUUCGAAAAUAAGACUUAUGAUUAAUUAAUUUCAGCUGCAUUUGUAGAUUUCACAUUUUGCAGCAGUAGCGCAUACUUCUAUGUUUUCUACUCUCGCAUUGCGUAUUCAAAUCUUUAUAAGGAUGUUCGCCCCUAUAUUUAAAAAAAAAUUAACAAGAUAUUCGGAAUUUAUUUAUAUAGUCCCAACAAAAACUUUGCCCGCAUACCCUUGCUCUAUUAACAUGAUUUUGUUACGGACAUUUUUGUAUAAAUAAAAGAAAGAUUUUUUGAAAAUCUUAUAAAUUCUUAGCUUUGUCAUAGUUUUUAAAAGAGAAAAGGAUGCCGAUGUUGAUUUUGAGAAAAAUCAAGAGAGAAUCAAUUCCAACCGAUUUUUCAAUUUAAAAUUAUUAUACUAGUAUCUAAAAAAACUUAGAUACUAUCAAUUUAUUUUUUGAAAAUCUUGUUAUUUUGGAACAGAGGAGCAGUAUCCUUAAUACGUUACCCCGAACAAUACACGUUCGAAAUAUACGGACUUCAUUUAAUAUGAAUGUGAUCCUGAUAUAGAAACAACCAAACAAGAUUUAUGUGCAUGCAAAUCGACUUAAAUCGACACUUUAUAGAUUUUCCAGUAACCACCACGAAUUGGUUGACCCUUACUCCGUGACUCUACUCAUUAGCAACAUGUUUUUAGCGAUGUUUUAGAUAUGUAUAUACCAAAUUUUCAAAUGCGUUAAGUUAAGUGCUUCAUUGACAUUCUUUAAAGUGUCAUAUAUGAAUAAAACAAAGCAACUUCAUUAGAAACGCAAAAUCGAUACACAUAAAAUGGAAUCAAGAGUUGUUGCUUGUGUCUAAGAUAAAAGAAGACAAUCCCUUCUGUAUAAACAUGAUACACUAAAUUAUUCGAAAAGUUAUCUUUGUGUUAAUUUGUACAUAGUAAGGGACGACAUCAAAAGUUCAAUGUAGGAUAAAAAACUUAAUUCACAUAGUUUUUUCACUGACCCCCCCCCCUAACCCCCUGUUAACUUAAUUUGGGAAAAAUUGAUAUGUAAAAAUCGAUUUUAGAUAUACAAAACUUGCAGAACUUUAACCCCAUCCCCAAGCUACUUGAUUUAAGUUUUUUUUUAUAUCCUACAUCGAUCUUUUGAUGUCGUCCCUAAAAUAAAGACAUACAUCUGGCUAUUGAAAUUAAAAAAAAAAUGAUUUGCAUUUUGUCAUCAUGGUCAUGUUGGGGCUUUUUACCACUUAGGUUGUUCUUCAAGAUGACCAAGUUUAUGAUUUUCAUCAAGUCAGAUAUUCAAUAUGUAUAGCAAUGAUGUUUCAGAAUGAUACAGAUGGGGAUAGAAAAUACGAGAGAUUCUCUAUCAAUUAUUAUUCUACAAUGGACGCAACUGUUAUCAUGUAUGAUAUUUCCAAUCAGG